AUACGGAGGGAGCAAGCGUUAUUCGGAAUCACUGGGCGUAAAGGGCGCGCAGGCGGUUUGGUAAGUCAGAUGUGAAAGCCCACGGCUCAACCGUGGAAGUGCAUUUGAAACUGCCAGACUUGAGUACCAGAGGGGAAAGUGGAAUUCCCGGUGUAGAGGUGAAAUUCGUAGAUAUCGGGAGGAAUACCGGUGGCGAAGGCGACUUUCUGGCUGGAUACUGACGCUGAGGCGCGAAAGCGUGGGGAGCAAACAGGAUUAGAAACCCUAGUAGUCC
This 274-nucleotide ribosomal RNA is filed under the name uncultured bacterium. Its description in RNAcentral is "partial 16S ribosomal RNA". It matches the Rfam family "Bacterial small subunit ribosomal RNA", at positions 523 to 796 of the family's 1533-position model. The record is from RNAcentral.